CCUCCGGGCCAGCCGGCGUCCCCGUGCACUGGCUCAGCGUCCCACGGCCCGGCAGCCCCGGAACGGCGCCUUCCCACGCCGGCGCGCCGCCCUCGCUCUCCAACAAGGCCACGGCUGCCCCGGCCCUCCCCGGGGCUUUUGGUUUUUAAACUAGUCCCAUCUAUCACUCCCAACCUGACUAUGGCCCAACACCAACUGUUGCAAGUUCUGCACCACUGCUUCAAUCAACUUCUCAGUCGAAACCGCCCCUCCCGGGAGCGCCGUGGAGGAGCAGAAAUAGGAAUAAAUGCCCGGAUGCCCCUGGAGGCACUGAACCCCGAGGUGUUCAAAGUGUUCAGCUAAGAAGAACCAAACUCCAGAGGAAUCAUACUGCAUUCACCAAACAAACCCAGAUGAAACCCUGCCAGUGAGUGUGUGCAGAGGGAGCUGCCAGCCGUGACCAUCAAAUUCUCAUCAAGUCUUGGGUUUCCACGGUAGCCAGAAAGAUAGAGAGAAGGAUUCUGAGAGAGGCUGAGGUUCUGUAACUCUGCAAUCUGCCGAGACAUCUGUGACUAACAGAGACACCUUCCAGAGACCUACAACAAGAUUGAUGGGCAGACCCUUCUCCUCCUGGCCCAACAUGUACUCCAGAGACCCACUCUGCGUGGCUAUCAGCUACUUCCAUCUCUCAUGGCUCUUCGUAACUUCUCAAAUUCUGCUGCAGCCUCUUUAACACUUCAUAGGCAUUCUAUAACCUAUCUAUAACCCAGUCUAAGAGUGGAGUUACCAGUAUAGAUAUAUUUACUUGUGUUUUGCAAUGUAUGAGUAGAAAGUUAAUAUUAAUUAAGACUGGGAUAAAAGGACCCAAGUUUGUCUUAUGCAGUUCAUGUUAGGACGGCCGUGAACAGGCCUUAUGAAGGCCUAUUAUGGAAAGUAUUUCUCUGACGUGGAUGGAGACCUAACAUUUCAAGCUAACCAAAACGUCCGGGUUUAUAAGGUUGUUUCCCCUUAAGCCAUAUAAAGAAAUAGGAGGCAUAAUUAUCCCUUUGCUGAGAUAAUACACUCUUCUUCCCAGAAUCCUUUCAGUGCAUUACUUACAAGCCGUAAACACAGAGUUUUCUAAAAUCUUCCUGCUUUUCUGAAUUACUCAGAAAAUUGUAACUUUCCCUUUUUUUCCCUUCUAAACCUGCUCUCUCUAGUAAUUUGAGCUUCACACUCUACAGCAGCGGUUCUCAACCUUCCUAAUGCUGAGACCCUUUAAUACAGUUCUUGUGGCGACCCCCAGCCAUGAAAUUAUUUUCAUUGCCACGUCAUAACUGUAGUUUUACUUUUGUUAUGAACUGUAAUGUAAAUAUCUGUGUUUUCUGAUGGUGUUAGGCGACACCUGGGAAAAGAUCCUUUGAUUCCCCCCCAACCCCAAUGCCCCUCCCAGGUGAGAACUCAUGCUCAAAAGCUUCCCUCCCUGCCAUGUGGCUGCUGGUCCACUUUGUGACUGAGUUCCAAGACUAACUUGAAUGGUAUGGCUUUUGGCUUUCUCCUUCUUUCUUCUGGGCAUCUGCCAGGACUCACGGCUAGC
Long non-coding RNA from Arvicola amphibius (Eurasian water vole), 1555 nucleotides. RefSeq lists it as uncharacterized. Lineage: Eukaryota; Metazoa; Chordata; Mammalia; Rodentia; Cricetidae. The record is from RefSeq and is a predicted model, not a curated record. The transcript has 4 exons.